This 278-nucleotide ribosomal RNA is filed under the name uncultured Rikenellaceae bacterium. Its description in RNAcentral is "partial 16S ribosomal RNA". It matches the Rfam family "Bacterial small subunit ribosomal RNA", at positions 511 to 788 of the family's 1533-position model. Lineage: Bacteria; Pseudomonadati; Bacteroidota; Bacteroidia; Bacteroidales; Rikenellaceae. The record is from RNAcentral.
GCCGCCGCGGUAAUACGGAGGAUGCGAGCGUUAUCCGGAAUUAUUGGGUUUAAAGGGUGCGUAGGCUGUUUGUUAAGUCAGGGGUGAAAUACCGCAGCUCAACUGUGGAAUUGCCUUUGAUACUAGCAGGCUUGAAUACUGUUGCCGUGGGAGGAAUGAGUAGUGUAGCGGUGAAAUGCAUAGAUAUUACUCAGAACACCGAUUGCGAAGGCAUCUCACGAAGCAGGCAUUGACGCUGAGGCACGAAAGCGUGGGGAUCAAACAGGAUUAGAUACCCC